Molecule: ribosomal RNA, 333 nt
Filed under: Halomonas sp. D-W-26
Lineage: Bacteria; Pseudomonadati; Pseudomonadota; Gammaproteobacteria; Oceanospirillales; Halomonadaceae
Also listed under: 1 other name
Description: bacterial SSU rRNA
Rfam family: Bacterial small subunit ribosomal RNA
Source: RNAcentral
CAGGCUAAUACCGCAUACGUCCUACGGGAGAAAGCAGGGGAUCUUCGGACCUUGCGCUAUCGGAUGAGCCUAUGUCGGAUUAGCUUGUUGGUGAGGUAAUGGCUCACCAAGGCGACGAUCCGUAGCUGGUCUGAGAGGAUGAUCAGCCACAUCGGGACUGAGACACGGCCCGAACUCCUACGGGAGGCAGCAGUGGGGAAUAUUGGACAAUGGGCGAAAGCCUGAUCCAGCCAUGCCGCGUGUGUGAAGAAGGCCCUCGGGUUGUAAAGCACUUUCAGUGAGGAAGAACGCCUUCGGGUUAAUACCCCGGAGGGAAGACAUCACUCACAGAAG